This 1236-nucleotide ribosomal RNA is filed under the name metagenome. RNAcentral's name for it is "bacterial LSU rRNA". It matches the Rfam family "Bacterial large subunit ribosomal RNA", at positions 1564 to 2808 of the family's 2925-position model. The record is from RNAcentral.
UGAAUACGAGAUGCUACGGCGUCGAAGCAGUGUAUGUCAGACUUCCAAGAAAAGCUCGCAAUGUCAUAAAUAAAGAAUGCCUGUACCAUAACCGACACAGGUGGGUAGGUAGAGUAUACUAAGGGGCGCGAGAUAACUCUCUCUAAGGAACUCGGCAAAAUAACUCCGUAACUUCGGGAGAAGGAGUGCCUUCUUGAAGAAGGUUGCAAUAACAAGAUCCAAGCAACUGUUUAUCAAAAACACAGGUCUCCGCUAAGUCGAAAGACGAUGUAUGGGGGCUGACGCCUGCCCAGUGCCAGAAGGUUAAAGAAGCUGGUUAGCAAUAGCGAAGCUGGUGACUGAAGCCCUGGUGAACGGCGGCCGUAACAAUAACGGUCCUAAGGUAGCGAAAUUCCUUGUCGGGUAAGUUCCGACCCGCACGAAAGGCGUAAUGAUUUGGAUACUGUCUCGGAGAGGGACUCGGUGAAAUAGACUUGUCUGUGAAGAUGCGGACUACCUGCACCAGGACAGAAAGACCCUAUGAAGCUUUACUGUAACUUGAAAUUGAAAUUGGACUUUAUUUGCGCAGUAUAGGUGGAAGGCGUUGAGAUUACUCUUGCGGGAUUAGUGGAGCCAUCAGUGAGAUACCACUCCUAUAAUGUUAGAUUUCUAACUUUGGAUCAUAAUCUGGUCAAAGAACAGUUUCAGGCGGGCAGUUUGACUGGGGCGGUCGCCUCCCAAAUGGUAACGGAGGCGUACAAAGGUUUCCUCUGAACGGGUAGAAAUCGUAUCUAGAGUGUAAAGGCAUAAGGAAGCUUGACUGUGAGACCUACAAGUCGAGCAGGGACGAAAGUCGGUCUUAGUGAUCUGACGGUGCUGAGUGGAAAGGCCGUCACUCAACGGAUAAAAGUUACUCUAGGGAUAACAGGCUGAUCUCCCCCAAGAGUUCACAUCGACGGGGAGGUUUGGCACCUCGAUGUCGGCUCAUCGCAUCCUGGGGCGGUAGUACGUCCCAAGGGUUGGGCUGUUCGCCCAUGAAAGCGGUACGCGAGCUGGGUUCAGAACGUCGUGAGACAGUUCGGUCCAUAUCCGGUGUAGGCGUUAGAAUAUUGAGAGGAGCCUUCUUUAGUACGAGAGGACCGAGAAGGACAUACCUCUGGUGUACCAGUUAUCGUGCCAACGGUAAACGCUGGGUAGCUAUGUAUGGAGAGGAUAACCGCUGAAAGCAUCUAAGUGGGAAGCCCACCUCAAGAUGAG